CUGGUUGAUCCUGCCAGUAGUCAUAUGCUUGUCUCAAAGAUUAAGCCAUGCAGGUCUAAGAACAUGCCGCAUUAGGGUGAGACCGCGAAUGGCUCAUUAUAUCAGUUGUGGUUCCUUAGAUCUUCGGUUACACUUGGAUAACCCUGGCAAUUCUAGAGCUAAUACAUGCAUGACAACACCGACCUUUCCGGGAGGUGUGUUUUUAUUAGCCCAAAACCAAUCGUUACUUUCGGGUGACGAACUCUUGGUGACUCAGAGUAACUUUGUUCAGAUCGCAUGGCUCUUCGCCAGCGACGCAUCUUUCAAAUGUCUGCCUUAUCAACUUGUUGGUUGGUUAAAUGCCAACCAAGGUGGUAACGGGUAACGGAGAAUCAGGGUUCGAUACCGGAGAGGGAGCCUGAGAAACGGCUACCACAUCCAAGGAAGGCAGCAGGCGCGCAAAUUACCCACUCCCGGCUCGGGGAGGUAGUGACGAAAAAUAACAAUACCGGACUCUUCCGAGGCUCGGUAAUUGGAAUGGGUACACUUCAAAUCCUUUAACGAGGAUCUAUUGGAGGGC
This 559-nucleotide ribosomal RNA is filed under the name uncultured microeukaryote. Its description in RNAcentral is "SSU rRNA". It matches the Rfam family "Eukaryotic small subunit ribosomal RNA", at positions 4 to 556 of the family's 1831-position model. The record is from RNAcentral.